GAUAAACGCUGGCGGCGUGCCUAACACAUGCAAGUCGAACGAUCCCGCAAGGGAGAGUGGCGGAAGGGUGAGUAACACGUGGGAAUCUACCUCCUCGCAGGGAACAACCUCUCGAAAGAGAGGCUAAUACCCAAAGGGUCAGAAAUGAUCAGAGUCGAAAGGCGUGAGGAGAGGAGCCCGCGGCCCAUCAGCUAGUUGGUGAGGUAAUGGCUUACCAAGGCUACGACGGGUAGGGGAUCUGAGAGGAUGUCCCCCACACUGGAACUGAAACACGGUCCAGACGCCUACGGGUGGCAGCAGUGAGGAAUAUUGGACAAUGGGCGAAAGCCCGAUCCAGCAACGCCGCGUGGAGGAUGAAAGGCCUUCGGGUCGUAAACUUCUUUAGAGGGAGACGAGAAAGGACGGUAUCCCUAGAAUAAGCGACGGCAAACUACGUGCCAGCAGCCGCGGUAAU
This 454-nucleotide ribosomal RNA is filed under the name uncultured bacterium. Its description in RNAcentral is "bacterial SSU rRNA". It matches the Rfam family "Bacterial small subunit ribosomal RNA", at positions 28 to 524 of the family's 1533-position model. The record is from RNAcentral.